GUAAAGGUUCUUUUAAGAACCACGAAUCUCUAUGAUCAGAUCAAGU
This is a non-coding RNA of Beta vulgaris subsp. vulgaris (sugar beet), 46 nucleotides long. The record is from Rfam. Lineage: Eukaryota; Viridiplantae; Streptophyta; Magnoliopsida; Caryophyllales; Amaranthaceae.